UUUAAAGGGAUGGUUUAGGUGUUUUGAAGUGGGGUUGUAUGAGGUAUUUAUCCAUAUAUGUGUAUUACUUACAGUAGAUGACUGUCGGCGUGCCCCCAGCAUCAAGAUACAGACAGAAGCACCGACACCAGUGCAAAGCAACACACUGCUGUGGACCAGGAUGGCAGGAUGGCAGU
This is a long non-coding RNA of Sebastes umbrosus (honeycomb rockfish), 176 nucleotides long. RefSeq lists it as uncharacterized. Lineage: Eukaryota; Metazoa; Chordata; Actinopteri; Perciformes; Sebastidae. The record is from RefSeq and is a predicted model, not a curated record. The transcript has 4 exons.